This 254-nucleotide ribosomal RNA is filed under the name uncultured bacterium. RNAcentral's name for it is "partial 16S ribosomal RNA". It matches the Rfam family "Bacterial small subunit ribosomal RNA", at positions 524 to 776 of the family's 1533-position model. The record is from RNAcentral.
UACGGAGGGUGCGAGCGUUGUCCGGAAUCAUUGGGCGUAAAGGGCGCGUAGGUGGCCCGGUCAGUUCGUGGUGAAAGCGCGGGGCUCAACCCCGAGCCUGCAGUGGAUACGGGCAGACUAGAGGUAGGUAGGGGAGAAUGGAAUUCCCGGUGUAGCGGUGAAAUGCGCAGAUAUCGGGAGGAACACCGGUGGCGAAGGCGGUUCUCUGGGCCUUACCUGACGCUGAGGAGCGAAAGCGUGGGGGAGCGAACAGG